Calypte anna (Anna's hummingbird) is the source of this 892-nucleotide long non-coding RNA. RefSeq lists it as uncharacterized. The record is from RefSeq and is a predicted model, not a curated record. NCBI's taxonomy places the organism in Eukaryota, Metazoa, Chordata, Aves, Apodiformes, Trochilidae. The transcript has 3 exons.
UCCAGUAUAAAUGCUGUCCCCCCCUCAUGACACUUGAGCUGAGAUGCUUGGUCCCCAUGCAAGAGACAUCCAGCCCUGCCUGCUGCACUCUGGAGAGAAAAAGGAGGGGUUUGUUGUAACCAAGGGCUUGGCUCCUUCAGUGCAAAGCAGCCCUUUCUUGCAGCAAGUUAUCACUUUGAUUUAGCCAGGCCUGCAGCUGGCACCACAGCUCACCCCAUCCCCUCUGUCCCCAGGGAUCCUGAAGGAGAAGAAGAGAGCAGGAGAGAGCCCAGCUCUGAGCCUGACACCACAUAACACUGGAGUAAAAACCAGUGACCCCUGGGAGUCAGGGCUGGCUCCAGACUGUCCAUCUGCAGCUCCCAGCAAAGCUCCCUGUGCCCUGCACCACCACGUCCCACCCUUGGCAGACACCAAAACCCAAAGAACCCAGGACGCCAACCUGUGCACCCACCAACCCCCAUCAUCCCAGCUCCCCUCCUGGGGCACCAGACAGAAGGGUAAAGGCUGGGGCAGCAAAGAACUUUGCUUUUUUUGAAGUCUGAGCCCUGGGGGGCACUGGGGGUCAGGCGGGGGGCUCCUGGGGGUGGAGCUGGGGUCUCACCCACCCUCUGCAGCUUUCCCAUCUCUAUAAACACGUGGAUAAAAGAUGAGUUUGCAGCUGCAGCUUGCUGUGGAUGGCAGCAUUAGAGGUGCAUCUGUUCCCACUAAGCACCAGUCUCGUGCUGGGUUUAUUUGUCCCACUCGUGGCAGGGAGGAGUUGCUUUCGGCACUGGGAGAUCUCUCGUGUCUGGGAGAAGCUGGGAGGGGGGGAAAUGGGGGGAGGGAGAUAUAUUUUUGGCUCUGUUUAGCCACAAAAAUUUGGGUUUAAAAUAAAGACAAAUAUUCCUGUUUU